Neofelis nebulosa (Clouded leopard) is the source of this 613-nucleotide long non-coding RNA. RefSeq lists it as uncharacterized. The transcript has 3 exons. Lineage: Eukaryota; Metazoa; Chordata; Mammalia; Carnivora; Felidae. The record is from RefSeq and is a predicted model, not a curated record.
GUAUUUCCCUCAGCACAUAUUUGCUGAGAAUACCAUGUCCCAGGCCCUUGUUAAGUGCUGGGAAGAUGUAGAUUAAAAGCACUUUACAAGGCAGUGAAGAAAUGUGCAGGAUAAGGCAAAAGGUUUGCUGAGCACAUCUGAAGGAAAAGAGCGAGCAAAGCGAUGGAGAUUUCCAUGCAAAGAAAACAGGAAGUGCAAAGGCCCUGAGGAGGGGCCACACCUGGCUUUGUUGGCUAAAAACUUAGAGAAGCAAGCACCUCAGUGAUAGGAGAGUGGUACAAAAUGAAGUCAAACAGAAAAUAGAUGGAAAAUAUCAUGCCAGGCUUUUUAUGUCAAUAAAGGAGCGAGAUUUUACUCAAAAGAACUUGCUCUUAGACCUUACUGCAAUCAAUGCUAUGGAACCUUUUCUGACUCUCCUACUCCAUCAUGAUAUUCACCAGUCUACCCUCUAUCCGCAGCUAACCAUUUCAAGACUUUCAUAUGAAUGGGAUCAUACAGUAUAUGAUUUUUGUGACUGGCUUCUUUCACUCAGCAGAAUGUCUUCGAGUUUCAUCCAUGUUGUAGCAGGUAUUAGUACUUCGUUCCUUUUUCCUCCCUCCUCCCUCCCUCCCUC